GAACGGAAAUACGAACUUCAAAGCUUGAACCAGGAGGGCAUUUUGUCCAUACCAUAUCGUUGUAGCUGCAGUGCAUGUUACCUGCAUAUCAUACACGUUUAACAGUGUAGAAACGAGGGAAAACAUGGGACUGGUGAAUUUGUUAUCAAUUCAAAAGCUGUACAUGGAAUGAUACAUGCAGGAAUUUGUGCCACACAUUUCAACAAUUUCCUUAAUGGAUUGAAUGUACUUUUUGUGAAUUCAUCAGACAUACUUGAAGAAAAAGGAGAAUGAAACUGGAAAGAAAAUAUUUGCAGUUGCAAAAGAAUCCUGUAAAUAAAUUCAAAACUCAGCAAAAGAAGAAACAGUUUUAAACAUGGUUAAUUUAAUGAAUAAUUGGAAGGUCUCAUUGUCAUCAUUUAACAGCAGGUUAUUAGCAGCAGUUUUUCAGAAAAAUGAAGGAUAGCUGUCAAUGGUAAAUACAUACAUUUUAGGAUAAUUACAUGUAGUUACCUUUGAGAAAAAACUUAGGUUUCAUUUGAGACUUUUUAAUCUGAUAAUGGUGUUUUUCAGGCAUUUACAACAUUUUUUUGUUUGGACAAUAUAUUUAGUCCACUCAACUAUAAAAUGUAGGAUCAUGUAAAUUUGUACACAGAUCUCACUGACCUACAUUUUCCACUUCACUGACUUUGGUAACAUUAAAAAUCCAAUUUCAUAUACAACAAAUGUAUAUCUCAGCAACUAAAAGGUGUCAGAUCAUGCAAACUUAUAUAUACUCUCAGAGUCUCAGUUAGUAACUCAGCCUCCAGACAAAAGAAGGUCACAGUGAUCACAUUUUACACUAUUGAUUUGUACUGUAUUUUAUAUCUUAAAUACAAAGUAUAUAGUCAAGACUGCCACUGGUUCUUAUGUGCCACAAUUAUGACA
Mytilus trossulus (common blue mussel) is the source of this 906-nucleotide long non-coding RNA. RefSeq lists it as uncharacterized. The transcript is spliced from 3 exons. Lineage: Eukaryota; Metazoa; Mollusca; Bivalvia; Mytilida; Mytilidae. The record is from RefSeq and is a predicted model, not a curated record.